GAUAGUGUAGUUAAAUAUAACAUAAGCAUGUCAAGCUUAAAUUAGUUUCAAUUAAAACUCACCAUCC
This 67-nucleotide transfer RNA is filed under the name Ricinoides karschii. RNAcentral describes it as "tRNA-Asp". Lineage: Eukaryota; Metazoa; Arthropoda; Arachnida; Ricinulei; Ricinoididae. The record is from RNAcentral.